This is a long non-coding RNA of Malania oleifera, 1211 nucleotides long. RefSeq lists it as uncharacterized. The record is from RefSeq and is a predicted model, not a curated record. Lineage: Eukaryota; Viridiplantae; Streptophyta; Magnoliopsida; Santalales; Ximeniaceae. The transcript has 3 exons.
GCGUAAGACAUUUUGAUGGAAAAAUUAAGGUUUAUUUUGAGUAGUAUAACAAAUUUAUAAAUUUGUUGAAAAUAAAUGAAAAAUUGGUUUUGUAAAGGCAACAAUUAGUGGCGGCUCUAAUUGAAAGUCAAAUCACUUUCUAUCAUUCAUAAGUUUGGAUUUAUAUAUUAGUUAUCAGUUAUUAAACGCGUCAUUUAACCCAAAUCCGUUUAUUCUCUAUCAUUUUAUAACCCAUAGGGACGGCUCAUUGCUACAGGAAGUGGCGCUGCGUUGUGGUCGGGCGAUUGCGGGAUCUACUUGUUCUUCGUUGCAGCAUCUUCUGUGAAAUGCUGAAUGCUAUACUGAAAUGGCUGUGCAAUGCAACCGUGCAAGCGUGCAACUCUGAGAAUGGUUCCCACUUAGAGGGUAAAAUGCAGAGGAAACAGAACAAGCAGUGGAAAAUUAUGAGAACCUAGCUGGCAAUGUAGCAUGUUCAAAAACUGAUGGAGCAUCAGAAUUGGGUUGGCGGCCGUCAAGUGCAAGGAAAGCUCGGUCUUUUAAUGCUUUGCGUUUUGAGACAAAAAGUAUUUCGUCCUGGCCUUAUUUGUUUAUAAGGGAAAAAAAUAGUAGUAGUAUGUUUGGUAUGUUGGAAUUAGAAUUGGAACGAAACAUGAAGGUUUUAGAGUGGAAAUUAAAGGGAAAGAGAGAUGUGUUGGGGGAUGUGGCAGCCCACUUGAUUAUGAAGAACGUGAGGAAGCCUAGUUGGGUUGAUUGUGUCUAUCCUGGCGUCUGAACAAGUAUGCCCUGCUUGAAUAUUGUACGAGCUGGUUUCAAAAUUGGGUCGCCAGGUGGUGGUGCUGGUGGUGGUAUGCUGCUGCUGCUUAGCUCCUAUAGUUUACCGUAUUAUUGAUGAUUUGUUUUGUUCUUGGGUACUGUCGUUUGGGUUCACAUAUGGAUUGUAUGAUACGGAACUUAGUGAAGUUGUAGGAGGGGCCAGGGGGGGCCUUAUUUGUUUUAUGAUUUAUUGAAGCAGGAUAUGGAUGCGUGGAGGGUGGUUCAGUAUUUUAACUAUCAGACGCAUGCUGCAAUUGCAUGCCCAGACCUUCCAACAACUUAAAACUCUCCCUAUUCCAUUUGUUUACUACUACAUUUCUUAUGUUAUGAUGUGGUAACAUUAACUGUUCCACCCAGAUAAUAAGAGUGAGUUGCAUGAACCGUGCUUUGAUUGAUUA